GUGAUCAAAUUUAAUUACAUCUUAGGGUUUUUCCAAAUUACAGCUUAAAAAAAUAAUCAGUUUUUUCUUUUUUUACAAAGCUGUGUAUGUCACCAAGAAAGUUCACUCAUGCUGCCUCAGCGCCUUCCCAUCGCGAGCUGCAGCGAUGCAGCCUGCAGAACAUGACCUCUCAGAGAACUAUUAUGCGUUAUGGGUAGUAUUGCAUCACUCUCCCGAAAAAAGGAAUUCAUAAAAAUAAAAGCAUUUCCAAGUCAAAUGCAUGAAACGUUCCUCACGGGAGCUCUUCCAUAAACGCAGCUUUGGGGGAAUGCCCGUAAUUGCUCUAUUACAUAUUCUUACGCUUGGAAAACUGAUUUCUCAAUCUGAAAAUAAAUCAAUCUGGGCUUUUUUGAGCAGUAAGGAUAGGCAGGAAAUAUGUUGGCUUUUGACGACGGUAAUAACUUUUGCACAUAAGUAACUUCUAGGUCUCUAACGUUUGCUGAGAACGGCCUUUACCUUAAAGCACGACCGCGCUCCAGCCAAGGGGACAACGUGACACACAAAGGAGGUGACCCCGCAGCGCGACAGAUCUGAAUGCACGGAAUACAGAUGGAGUGUCUCUGAGGGAUGCGGUCUGAGGAAUCACAAGUGAAGUUGACGUGAACUUGACGCAGCACCAAGCAUUUCCAUCCAAAUUUCAGUGGAAAUUCCAAGCAAAGCAGGCCGGAGGGGAGGCACGGCAGCACCAACCUUGGGAAGAGCAACUAUGCAUAUCGGUGGUAGCACACAAAUGCUGCCCAGCCCCUUCCAGGAGCACCUGGAGAUGUUUCCAGAAGGCUCUGCACGGACACGGCAUGCUGCUCGACCAAACCUGCCUGUUGUGAAGCGGAUUGCUAACGCAAGCCAAGUUCAUGGAAGGAGAAGCACUUAUUUAGUGCAAUUUAGCAGUCACCUGUGUACCUGGGAAAUCUGCUCGGUGCUAAAGGUUUGUCUGAGCCCUGGUUCUGCGGGAAUAAAUGAGGACACGUGCUGGGCAAGAGCAGCAAGAGGCAACCAGACCUGUGCUGAGCUAACCCUCCUUCCACCCAGUGCCCAAGAAAUGUAUCUGUGAAGAACUACUCAUACAACUGUGCUCACCAGCAAAGCUUCAGGAAGGUGACCACCUGAGAAGCUGCUCCUAGUGCCUAGCUCACCAACCAGAGAUAAGAUGGACAGCAAACAAACGGAAAAUCAAAGCCCUAAACACAGAAACCUUGACGUGUUCAAGACAGAUAAAACCAGCCAAGGAAGUAGGUAUGCACGCGUUUCUUUUGUGUACUCAUACAGAAAUAUAUAAAUAGAUACGUAUGUAGACUUCCAAGAUUACCAUUUGAGCCAAUUCUCACAAGUUCAGAACUUGCAUAUGUGGUGCUACGUAUAUGGUUUGUCCGUGCUCUUUCACGUUCAUUUUUUAUGCCGUUGUUUCUACCGGGAUCCAAUCACAAAACUAGUUUCUGUUACAUUUCCUUGCUGUAUUUAAUGAGUUUAGAAAUAUAUAUUUUAAGGAUCGCAGUGUAGAAUCACAAACCAUUUGUGACUCAAUGUGAAUCACCACAGAAGUGUGGGUUUGGGACGAUGCUCGGGGCAUAACCCGCUCCGUGCUCUGAUGCUCCUGGCACAGCCACCUCUCUGCAAACCUCUUAUGCCAGAGGCUCUGCCACCCCAGUGUCAGCUUUUGCCAUCCUUGCCAUCAGAAACCUUUUUCCUAAUAUUUGAAAUGAAGCUUUCUAGCUACAAAUUAAGACCAAUUUGUACUCUCUCUGAUGCUGCUCAUAGAGAACAAAAUAUUUCCUUUAUUUUUCAUAUAUAAUUCAGAAGUAUCAUCGUGCUCCUUCCAGUCUCGUGUUUGGAACAUUCCUAAUUUGCUCCUUCCUCACAGGUCAGGCUUUCUUGACCCGUGAUCCUUCUCAUACAUCUACAUUUAAUGACUGUCUGGAAGUAGUGAUCAAAAAGGUUGGUUCCCUGUUCCUUGAAAAAGAAACUCAGUAUUACAUGGAAGAUGAAAUGGAGAAGACCUACUGUGGUAUACAAAAUGCGAAAAGAAGAUGUUUGCCUCAUUUUUUUUUUUUCUCUUGUACAACAUAAUGCUGCCUUAAUUAGGACAAGGAAAUGGGGGACGUAAGGGAUAGCCACACUAUUGGAUUUGCACUGCCCAUUUCCAUUGCAAAAAAUUGAUUUCCAGAAAGGCAGCAGCAUCCUUCCCCAGGACGGGAAUACAGGGCAACGUCCCCCCAGCAGUCAGCUUGGAGCCGAGGGCUGAGCUGCACUCAGGGCACUUCUGCUGGUUCCGUCUCUCUCAAUUUAAUAACAUCAGCGUGAUAAAAAUAAUAUCUUAAGAGCAUGCUAAUGUGUUAAUGCAUCCUGUGCUAGAAGCCCAAGCAUUAUGGCUCGUGGUUUUACAUGUUAAAAAAGGUCCAAGAGUUUAAGAUCAGGCUCUUUCGAUGUUUCUAGACUUACAUUAGUGCACGGCUUCCCUUACACGUAACUGAAACCAAAGUGAGUCAGCUCAUCUUGGACUUCACAGCAGAGCCCACUGAGGAUGAAAGAUCACCUCUUGUUAACAGCUAGGGGCUACCAGAAGACCUGUGUCAGCAGCAGCAAAAAGGAAAGAGAGCGAGGCGUGCAGGAGCAGAGCAAGGAUCCUUCUCACCACCUCUUCCACGACUGCUUGUUGAACUGCUUCCUCUAAGAGAUUAAGAUGACGAUCCGUCCUGCUGCCUCCGAGCUGGGAGAUAAGGUCUAUCUCUGCGUCCCAACUGUCCUCGCUGGGGAACAGCGAGGAGCGGUGCUGACAGGAGUGCAGCAAGGGAGGAGAGGGGGAGAGCAGCGAACAGCAAAUGGAAAAUUCUGGCACUGCGGGGCUGAGCCGGAGUGUUACUGCUGACAUCACUGAAAGUAGGAUCAAACCUGAUCUAAAAAGCAAUUUGGAAUAUGAGCUUUUCUUUCCAAAUGAGCGGUAAGUGCCUUCCUUCACACGGAAUCCGGUGCAGUAAUAGUGGCUUCUAUUACACUUGAAAUUGAUUGGCUUUAUGGCCCAGAACUGGGGAAUUGCCCUAGCCUGAUCUCGGCGGGCUCAUGUUUCUAAUUCUGGCAACUCUAAAUCCGGAUGCCCUGAAAAUCCGUGCUGUUGCUUACAGCGUGUGCUGCUAUCUCCAUUUUCAUGUGUCCAGGAAAAAUAAAGGAGCCGGGGUGCACA
Molecule: long non-coding RNA, 3214 nt
Organism: Numida meleagris (helmeted guineafowl)
Lineage: Eukaryota; Metazoa; Chordata; Aves; Galliformes; Numididae
Source: Ensembl